AGCGCGCGUGUGUGGCACACCAGAGGCAGCCGUCGCAUACGCCACUCCUUGGAAGGCGUAUCUGUUUCACUGUGACGAGUGCGCCACCCACACACACACGGCUUCCCGGGAGCGAAACGGUUUUUGUGCGAGCUCGGCUUACCGAUCUGCUGCUGCCUCCGCAAGGUUGGCCGGGAGGUGUAUCUGGCAUGGUCGCCUAUCUGGUCGCCAUCAGACCGGGGAAAAGUUGGCCGUGCACGAGCAGAAGCGCAUGCACUGCUGUGGGUCUAUAAAUACAGCAGCAAUUUAGAGGGUCAGAACCAGAAUGAUCGGCAAAUAAUGUGCCUCGGCUGGCCCGUGCGUGCGUAUCGAUUAAUUGGAAAACCAUCCUAUGAUCAUUGACGAACGCGGAAAAAGGGGUUAUUUUUGGGAAGUUUUCGAUAUCUCGAACUUCCCCCGACGGACGCAAUGAGAAGUUCUGCCGAAUCCAAUAAGAUUUUGGUUCAUGGUAACGAUAUAAGUGCAAAACAACCAAACGUGAGCAAUUAGUAAGGAAGUUCCAGUGGACAUCAAUAUUUAUGCACGACUUUACAAUAAAAAUACUUGCCGCAACUAUUCUGGGUAUAUAAGCAACCUCAUUUGCCAUCCUCUGGUACAGUUCCAUUCUGUGGACACAAUCGCCUAAAACGAAAAGCCUAAGCCACCCCAAACAAACAAACAGAAAAAACCAUGGCCAACCUUAGCUUCUUCCUGUUGUUGCUGGUCGCGAUCUUUUUGAUUUUCUCCGACUGCAUGGAGGCAGUUUACGGAGCGGAUACAUCGGGGGGUGGUGUAGCGAGCGGACUAACGGACAAAACAUCGGGUGUUUUAGGCGGCACUCGCUAAUAGCAAGAAGAGGUGGCCCGGUUAGUAAUCCGCCGAAUCGAAAAAAUCGGGGUAAUCCGCCGAAAGGAAAAAACCCAAGAUACGACCAAAAUGGCUAAUUCCAAUAAAUAAUAUACAUGUAAUCCUGCACUAAUCAAAAACAAA
Anopheles arabiensis is the source of this 1008-nucleotide long non-coding RNA. RefSeq lists it as uncharacterized. The transcript has 4 exons. The record is from RefSeq and is a predicted model, not a curated record. NCBI's taxonomy places the organism in Eukaryota, Metazoa, Arthropoda, Insecta, Diptera, Culicidae.